GACGAACGCUGGCGGCGUGCUUAACACAUGCAAGUCGAACGGCAAGGCCCUGCUUUCGUGGGGUGCUCGAGUGGCGAAGGCGUGAGUAACACGUGAGCAGCCUGAUCUUGAUUUUGGGAUAACUUCAGGAAAGUGGGGUUACUAUCGGACCGGAGCCCAUGUUCCAUGGUAGGCAUUGGAACGUUUGGGCGGUUGGGGAUGGAUGAGCGGGUUAACAGUUUGUUGGUUGGGUAGUGGCUUACCAAGGCUUUGACGGGUAGCCGGCAGGGGAGGGUGACCGGCCACAAUGGUCCUGAGGUACGGCCCAGACUCCUACAGGAGGCAACAGGGGGGAAUAUUGCACAAUGGGCGGGAGCCUGAGGCAGCAACGCCGCGUGCGGGAUGACGGCCUGUGGGUUGAGAACCGCAUUCGCCUGAGACGAAGCGGUAGUGACGGUAAUGAAUAAAGAAGCACCGGCUAACUACGUG
RNAcentral lists this ribosomal RNA (468 nucleotides) under uncultured bacterium. RNAcentral describes it as "partial 16S ribosomal RNA". It matches the Rfam family "Bacterial small subunit ribosomal RNA", at positions 28 to 507 of the family's 1533-position model. The record is from RNAcentral.